Molecule: ribosomal RNA, 429 nt
Filed under: Chloroflexota bacterium
Lineage: Bacteria; Bacillati; Chloroflexota
Description: Chloroflexi bacterium partial 16S ribosomal RNA
Rfam family: Bacterial small subunit ribosomal RNA
Source: RNAcentral
UGGGGAAUAUUGCACAAUGGGCGCAAGCCUGAUGCAGCCAUGCCGCGUGUGUGAAGAAGGCCUUCGGGUUGUAAAGCACUUUCAGCGGGGAGGAAGGCGUUAAGGUUAAUAACCUUGGCGAUUGACGUAACCCGCAGAAGAAGCACCGGCUAACUCCGUGCCAGCAGCCGCGGUAAUACGGAGGGUGCAAGCGUUAAUCGGAAUUACUGGGCGUAAAGCGCACGCAGGCGGUCUGUCAAGUCGGAUGUGAAAUCCCCGGGCUCAACCUGGGAACUGCAUUCGAAACUGGCAGGCUAGAGUCUUGUAGAGGGGGGUAGAAUUCCAGGUGUAGCGGUGAAAUGCGUAGAGAUCUGGAGGAAUACCGGUGGCGAAGGCGGCCCCCUGGACAAAGACUGACGCUCAGGUGCGAAAGCGUGGGGAGCAAACAGG